Molecule: ribosomal RNA, 421 nt
Filed under: uncultured bacterium
Lineage: Bacteria
Description: bacterial SSU rRNA
Rfam family: Bacterial small subunit ribosomal RNA
Source: RNAcentral
UCUUCCGCAAUGGGCGAAAGCCUGACGGAGCAACGCCGCGUGAGGGAUGAAGGUUUUCGGAUCGUAAAGCUCUGUUGCCAAGGAAGAACGUCUUCUAGAGUAACUGCUAGGAGAGUGACGGUACUUGAGAAGAAAGCCCCGGCUAACUACGUGCCAGCAGACGCGGUAAUACGCAGGGGGCAAGCGUUGUCCGGACUUAUUGGGCGUAAAGCGCGCGCAGUCGGUUCUUUAAGUCUGGUGUUUAAACCCGAGGCGCAACUUCGGGUCGCACUGGAAACUGGGGGACUUGGGUGCAGAAGAGGAGAGUGGAAUUCCACGUGUAGCGGUGAAAUGCGUAGAUAUGUGGAGGAGCACCAGUGGCGAAGGCGACUCUCUGGGCUGUAACUGACGCUGAGGCGCGAAAGCGUGGGGAGCAAACAGG